RNAcentral lists this ribosomal RNA (292 nucleotides) under uncultured bacterium. RNAcentral's name for it is "partial 16S ribosomal RNA". It matches the Rfam family "Bacterial small subunit ribosomal RNA", at positions 505 to 796 of the family's 1533-position model. The record is from RNAcentral.
GUGUCAGCAGCCGCGGUAAGACAGAGGGUGCAAACGUUGUUCGGAAUUACUGGGCGUAAAGCGCGUGUAGGCGGCAGGGCAUGUCGGAUGUGAAAGCCCAUGGCUCAACCAUGGAAGUGCACCCGAAACUGCCCAGCUAGAGUCUCGGAGAGGAAGGCGGAAUGCUUGGUGUAGAGGUGAAAUUCGUAGAUAUCAAGCAGAACACCGGUGGCGAAGGCGGCCUUCUGGACGAUGACUGACGCUGAGACGCGAAAGCGUGGGGAGCAAACAGGAUUAGAUACCCGCGUAGUCC